Molecule: ribosomal RNA, 425 nt
Filed under: uncultured bacterium
Lineage: Bacteria
Description: bacterial SSU rRNA
Rfam family: Bacterial small subunit ribosomal RNA
Source: RNAcentral
CAAGGAAUUUUCCGCAAUGGGCGCAAGCCUGACGGAGCAACGCCGCGUGGACGAGGACGCUUUUCGGAGUGUAAAGUCCUUUUCACGAGGAAGAAGACAGACGGUACUCGUGGAAGAAGCAUCGGCUAACUACGUGCCAGCAGCCGCGGUAAUACGUAGGAUGCAAGCGUUGUCCGGAUUUACUGGGCGUAAAGCGUGUGCAGGCGGAUGGCCAGGUAGAUUGUGAAAGCCCCCGGCUUAACUGGGGAGGGUCAGUCUAAACCGGUCGUCUGGAAGCAGACAGAGGAGUAGGGAAUUCCCGGUGUAGUGGUGAAAUGCGUAGAUAUCGGGAGGAACACCAGCGGCGAAGGCGCUACUCUGGGUCUGGCUUGACGCUCAGACACGAAGGCGAGGGGAGCGAACAGGAUUAGAUACCCCCGUAGUCC